This is a long non-coding RNA of Gorilla gorilla gorilla (western lowland gorilla), 562 nucleotides long. RefSeq lists it as uncharacterized. The record is from RefSeq and is a predicted model, not a curated record. Lineage: Eukaryota; Metazoa; Chordata; Mammalia; Primates; Hominidae. The transcript has 4 exons.
AAGGACACAGGAGAGAAAAAACACAGUGAGCAGGAGGAACUGCGCCCACAGACAGAGUUCUGGAGGCUGCAAAGUCCAACAGUAAGAGCCUGCAUCUGCUGAGGGCCUUCCUGCUGGGACAUCCCAUGGUGGAAGGCAGAAGGGGAAAGGGCGAGAGAGCCAGAGAGCAAGCCAGCAAGAGGAGCCCCACACCGGCCUUCACAAAAACCACUCUCAGGCAUUGGAAAGUCUAAGCCAACUAUCCCCCACAGUUGGCACCCUGGAACAGGCGACUGCAGGAGCAGCAAGCAGCAGCAUUACCGGCCACUAGGCAGAGUACAACUAAUUCAGCCUAUCAUCAGUGUGGCUACUGGAAGCAUUUUUCUUUCUGAAAGUAAAACACAGGUAGCCCGGCUCUUAAAAACAAUCACACACAACGCUCACAGGCAUGUGCACAUUCAUACACACGUGUGCACACAUACAUGCCCACAUGCGACACACGCGUACAUCAUACAGCAUGCACGUGUCCAUAAAUGAGCUCACACGGACAGCCACGUCCCGCGCGCAGGCCCCCAGCGACACA